GAGCGUUAACCCUACGAUUCGUGGUCUUGAUAGCCUCAUCGAGAGUGAGGAACGAGGUCUGAAGCGAGGCGAGCUCGACGAGAACCUCGAUGGCCUUGAUGUAGGCAACGCGGCACUGCUGCACCUGCUGGCCGCCCCGCGCCAGUCCGGUGAGGUCGUUCUUGUUGGCGUCAGCGUCGGAGGUGUAGUCGAACUUGGGGAGCUUGACGCCGGCGACGUUUUCCUGGCGCGAGCGGACGCGGAGGGAGGCUUCCCGGACGUUCUCGAGGACGACGUGCUUGAUAUUGUCGCCGGCGACGUACUUGGCCUCGGUGAGCGCGAACGACGAGGUUUUCAUGAUAUCGCCCAUGGAUUCCUUCGUGGUCACGAUCUUCUUCAGGAUCUGGCGGAACUGCAC
RNAcentral lists this long non-coding RNA (397 nucleotides) under Phaseolus vulgaris (common bean). RNAcentral's name for it is "long non-coding RNA (PVUL_LNC000953)". Lineage: Eukaryota; Viridiplantae; Streptophyta; Magnoliopsida; Fabales; Fabaceae. The record is from RNAcentral.